RNAcentral lists this ribosomal RNA (558 nucleotides) under uncultured bacterium. Its description in RNAcentral is "bacterial SSU rRNA". It matches the Rfam family "Bacterial small subunit ribosomal RNA", at positions 338 to 887 of the family's 1533-position model. The record is from RNAcentral.
CCUACGGGAGGCAGCAGUAGGGAAUCUUCCGCAAUGGGCGAAAGCCUGACGGAGCAACGCCGCGUGAGUGAGGAAGGUCUUCGGAUCGUAAAGCUCUGUUGCCAAGGAAGAACGGCCCGGAGAGUCACUGCUCCGGGAGUGACGGUACUUGAGAAGAAAGCCCCGGCUAACUACGUGCCAGCAGCCGCGGUAAUACGUAGGGGGCAAGCGUUGUCCGGAAUUAUUGGGCGUAAAGCGCGCGCAGGCGGUCUGUUAAGUCUUGUGUUUAAGCCCGGGGCUCAACCCCGGUUCGCAUGGGAAACUGGCAGUACUUGAGUGCAGGAGAGGAAAGCGGAAUUCCACGUGUAGCGGUGAAAUGCGUAGAGAUGUGGAGGAACACCAGUGGCGAAGGCGGCUUUCUGGACUGUAACUGACGCUGAGGCGCGAAAGCGUGGGGAGCAAACAGGAUUAGAUACCCUGGUAGUCCACGCCGUAAACGAUGAGUGCUAGGUGUCGGGGGUUUCGAUACCCGCGGUGCCGAAGUUAACGCAAUAAGCACUCCGCCUGGGAAWUUCCAMU